UUGACCUCAGAUCAGGCAGCAUUACCC
Molecule: ribosomal RNA, 27 nt
Filed under: Keratoisis sp. K14359F
Lineage: Eukaryota; Metazoa; Cnidaria; Anthozoa; Scleralcyonacea; Keratoisididae
Description: partial 28S ribosomal RNA
Source: RNAcentral